CAGGUGGCUGCCGGUGUGGUACCGCACCAAACCUCUCCGCCUACGCCUUGCGAGGCUGCUUUCUGUAUAUAUGCCUAAUUCCUAUUUUAAAAUGACUGUAGCAAUGCCUCAGCUUAUCAAGAGCUGUGAGAGAUAUGAGGGCCUUGGUCUCCUGGUCAGUAAGGAAGCUGCACUGGAAAUACUUUCCAGUGAAAUGUUUGCAUGAAGAGUUGCAGGAAAAGGAAAGAGCUGCUCUUAUCACCACUGAAUUGACAAAUUCUGUUUGUCAGAAGGAAGAUGUUUCUUUGAAAGUCAGUGAGAUUCUUGCUUUGAUUCCUAAGUAACUUUGCU
Molecule: long non-coding RNA, 330 nt
Filed under: Cyanistes caeruleus (blue tit)
Lineage: Eukaryota; Metazoa; Chordata; Aves; Passeriformes; Paridae
Description: lncRNA (ENSCCEG00000012100.1)
Source: RNAcentral